This 253-nucleotide ribosomal RNA is filed under the name uncultured bacterium. Its description in RNAcentral is "partial 16S ribosomal RNA". It matches the Rfam family "Bacterial small subunit ribosomal RNA", at positions 524 to 776 of the family's 1533-position model. The record is from RNAcentral.
UACGAAGGGGGCUAGCGUUGUUCGGAAUUACUGGGCGUAAAGCGUAUGCAGGCGGACUUUUAAGUCGGGGGUGAAAUCCCGAGGCUCAACCUCGGAACUGCCUUCGAUACUGAAAGUCUUGAGUCCGGGAGAGGUGAGUGGAAUUCCGAGUGUAGAGGUGAAAUUCGUAGAUAUUCGGAAGAACACCAGUGGCGAAGGCGGCUCACUGGACUGGUAUUGACGCUGAGGUGCGAAAGCGUGGGGAGCAAACAGG